This 486-nucleotide ribosomal RNA is filed under the name uncultured bacterium. RNAcentral describes it as "partial 16S ribosomal RNA". It matches the Rfam family "Bacterial small subunit ribosomal RNA", at positions 30 to 507 of the family's 1533-position model. The record is from RNAcentral.
AUUGAACGCUGGCGGCAUGCCUUACACAUGCAAGUCGAACGGCAGCACGGGUGCUUGCACCUGGUGGCGAGUGGCGAACGGGUGAGUAAUACAUCGGAACAUGUCCUGUAGUGGGGGAUAGCCCGGCGAAAGCCGGAUUAAUACCGCAUACGAUCUACGGAUGAAAGCGGGGGACCUUCGGGCCUCGCGCUAUAGGGUUGGCCGAUGGCUGAUUAGCUAGUUGGUGGGGUAAAGGCCUACCAAGGCGACGAUCAGUAGCUGGUCUGAGAGGACGACCAGCCAAACUGGGACUGAGACACGGCCCCGACUCCUACGGGAGGCAGCAGUGGGGAAUUUUGGACAAUGGGCGAAAGCCUGAUCCAGCAAUGCCGCGUGUGUGAAGAAGGCCUUCGGGUUUUAAAGCACUUUUGUCCGGGAAGAAAACCUUGGCCCUAAUACGGUCGGGGGAUGACGGUACCGGAAGAAUAAGCACCGGCUAACUACGUG